CCAGUCCUAGUGGGGGCAGGAAAACACAGGACACACCAGUGAUGGAUAUAAAAUUCACAGAGAGGGGGCUCUUUGGAGAAGUUCAUCUCUGCACAAAGUCUACUGGCCUGAACCUUGUGGUGAAAGUUCUCAGCAGUAAAGAUCGGGAGAUGCCUUUAAAUGAAAUCCAAGUGAUGAACCAGUUGGAUCACCCUUAUAUCAUGCAGAUGUUUGAUGAGGUGGAGAUGCCCAAUGAGAUCUUUUUCAUUCUAGAAUAGCCUAUGGAAAAAGACAUAGUCGAAUGGACACUUUUGUAACACAUUUACGAGCACUUCAAGCACUUGCACAGCACUGGCAUCUUGUGGUGGAAUAUAGGCGACACGGCGACCAUCCAUGCUGCAGUGUUUGAUUUCUCCUCCCUGGCUACUGACAGCAUGUGAAGGAGGCUGUGGGGGCUGCUGCUGGACAUGCUGCUGCUGUUUGGCCUCUCUAUCUGGGCACGGCGCUGAGUGCAGGAGACAUAGCCUGCGGAAGAGAAGAUAUUCUGAAGCCGAACCCCUCUUUGCUUUCCCUUUAGCCACACUAACAGCCGACCCCUCAGUCCUCGGAAACUACAGAGCCAGAUGAAGAAGUCACUCGAUUCCUCUGUAUCGCUGGUACCUGCUAAUUAUUUUUCCCUGAACUGCAGCCCGCAGCGGUAAAACCUACUGGCAGCAUUAAGGAUUUGGAUUUUCAAGCAUGACUUGGGACACAACAGCCAAGCAUACGACGCAUUAACUCAAAUCCCAGAUCCUCGCAGGCAACGGGACUGUUUACGGCAUCUCAUAGUGGUUCUGUGUGAGAGCUCCCAGCUGCAAGACCUUGUAGAGUUUCCAUAUGUAAAUCACCAUAAUGAGGCUCCUCUCAGUUGGUCUGGUUCCCUUAUUCAGCUAUUGACCAUCUCCGGCAGACUCUGGACCAAGUGACCAACGCAGAAAAUAUUCCCCCGGACCAGAAACCGCUUUCAGAGACUUGUGUAAAUGCUGGUCUGCCAGGCGGAUGUCUAAGAAACAUCGGCAGAAGAUCCUCAUAAUGCAUCUGGAAAAAGAGACCGCACAAUCUAUAUACUCACCAUGCAAAAAACGAAAAGGAUCCAGUACUAAAGACAGACACGCUCCAGUAAUCAGGGGCCAACCCACAAGCAGCCAUCAUGGCACCACCUCUCCAAAAACCGAAAGCCCAACUGACCAUGCCCUCAACUCCAACUGUACUGAAGUAUGUCUGCGCUGUGCCAGCCACUGAGUGUUAAUCUCAGCAGUAGAUAACUGAUAGCAAUAGUGUGACACAGCAAUAGGGACCUUUUAUGAUAGGUUGGGACUCUUGACACAACAGGAUGUGCCCCUGAUUGGCUAAUGUUUCUUUUCUUUUAUAGCUAAUAAACUGUAGGUAACCUAAGGAGGUAAACCUAUUUUCCCAUGAAGCAAGUUGUAGGGAUACUGUAGCACUAGCUCAGCACUGCCCUGCCUUCAUGAUUUGCACUGUAAACUUACCAUAGUGUUGUUCAACCUUAGAGUGGACAAGGGUCCGUGACCUAUUUCCAUAAGUCAAUUAGCAGACUAGUAGUCAUCACGACUUUCACUUUCUUCCUUAGUUGGGUGCACGUCCUCCAAUGGCCACUUUCCACUGGCAAUACUGACAAAGAAGUGAGUCCAGCACCCGCAGUUGAUAAAGGACCCGCUUGAUAAAAGACCGCAUGGUCUGAAACGUUGCUGUAAUCCCCUUGCACCAAUAAAGGCUGUUUUAUUUAAAACUG
This is a long non-coding RNA of Xenopus laevis (African clawed frog), 1771 nucleotides long. RefSeq lists it as uncharacterized. The record is from RefSeq and is a predicted model, not a curated record. The transcript has 11 exons. Lineage: Eukaryota; Metazoa; Chordata; Amphibia; Anura; Pipidae.